GUCUAUGGCCAUGCCACACUGAAUAAGCCCGAUCCUGUCUGAUCUCAGACACUAAGCAGGGUCAGGCCUGGUCAAUACUUGGAUGGGAAACCACGUAGGAAUACCAGAUGCUAUAGGCG
This 119-nucleotide ribosomal RNA is filed under the name Pteropus alecto (black flying fox). Lineage: Eukaryota; Metazoa; Chordata; Mammalia; Chiroptera; Pteropodidae. The record is from RNAcentral.